AGACCUAUGAAGGUCGAAGGGGAAGAAAAGCUGUAUCGAUUGUUGAGAUCUGGCGACUUGUUUAAAUUUCAUCAGCCUCACUUCUAUGAACUCUCAGAGCUGAUUACCAACUCCUACCACUGUUAACCCUCAUCCAGGAACAAGCUUAUGUCUUUAACAUUCUGAGUGGGCUUCAGCAUCCUUGCAUAUGUUCAAUUCUUAAAAACCUGUUGAAAUAAAAGAUCAGGAGACAUAGGAAGGAUGCCAGAAGAGAGCGUGGCCUCACGUGUACCAGCUCUCUGCUCUCCUUUGCCUUGGGACGUUCCAUCCCUGGAAGUUUCCCUGCCCACAUCUUUGUAGAGAGUCCAUUCUCCAAGCUUCAGUGUGUCAUCUGUGAGGACCGUGACCCACCUGGUACAUCGCCUCAGGGCAUUCAUUUCAGGCUCCUUCUAAAUGGCCAAGGUAAACCUCAGGUUCUCCUCCUGCCUUUUGCUAAGUAUAUGUCUUGAUGACAAGCCUUCUGCUGAUGAGCUGUGUUUCUGGACCGAUCAUGGUAGAAGUCAAUUAACGUGUCCCUCACUUGGGGUUUCUCAAGGUCAUCUAUGAACUGACUCUGUCUCAAAAAAAAAAAGAAAAAAAAGAAAAGAAAGAAUGAAAAAAAAAACUAGGACAUGGCUAACAGGAAUGGGGACAAAGAAUCUGCACUGAUGAGGAAACUGAAACAGAAAAUCCAGAGUAAAUUCCACCAGGCCACACAGCAAGGUCUGAUAGAGCCAGGAGAGACUUUAUGAAAUCCAGACUCUCACACUAAUGCUCUAUCAGCUAGACCUCCAUGUGAGUCUCCCCAAUGUAGGUAGGAAGUGCUUUCCCUAAAAUGCUCAUAAAGCAAAUCAGAGCAAUGCUGCAUUCCAUGUGAUUUCUAAUUUGAAAUGCAAACAAUUGCCAAUUUGUUUGACUUGUAUUUAUAAUUAUUUCCUUGUGAAUUACUCAUCACUAAAUGCUUUAUAAAUAUUUUCUCUUUUUUUCCUCAAUGUCUAUGGAAUGAUCACAGCAUAGAAAAUGUUGGCUUUCAAGGAUUUAUUAAUAUCUCCUUUUGAAAUAACAUGUAUUUGUAAGACAGAAUAAAAUCACUUUAAAGAAACAAA
Homo sapiens (human) is the source of this 1124-nucleotide long non-coding RNA. Ensembl annotates it as testis expressed 41. Its record names the gene TEX41. NCBI's taxonomy places the organism in Eukaryota, Metazoa, Chordata, Mammalia, Primates, Hominidae. The record is from Ensembl.